This is a long non-coding RNA of Molossus molossus (Pallas's mastiff bat), 967 nucleotides long. RefSeq lists it as uncharacterized. The transcript is spliced from 4 exons. NCBI's taxonomy places the organism in Eukaryota, Metazoa, Chordata, Mammalia, Chiroptera, Molossidae. The record is from RefSeq and is a predicted model, not a curated record.
UUCAUGGGAGACUGUCUCUGGAGGUCCCCAGAACCUCAUGACUCUUGUUUCAGGUCAGUAGGAGUGGGGUGAAGAGCUAGAAGAGCACCCAUGCUCAGGACUGGACUCCAGUAUCAGUCUGUCCCUGAGCAGCUGUGCCAAACCCCUGAGCUUCCACUUCCUCCUCUGGUGCAAGAAUGAUUGCUGUGGGGACCAGCAGCCAACCCGAAUGGGGUAGAACCCAGCCUCACCGGAGGAGCAGUUGUCAAAGUUCAAAUCUCCACAGAUGAUGUCAAAUGCCACCAGCUCCUCGGGGUUGGCUGUGCUGGACGAGGAGGUAGAUUUUCGGAAAUCAGCCAGCCACUCCAGAAGCAUGUCCAGCUGCUCACACCGGAUAGCACUGUCAUCUGUGGAGCAGAACCACAGAGACCCGAGGAUAAAGCUGCAGCCAGAUGCCAACCAGGACCUGGCUGAUCCCAACCUGCCAGGGAAAGAUCCCCCACCCCUAAAAGAGUGCAGGCCACCAGACCCUACCUUCUGGGGCGUGCAGGAGAAACAGGCUCACUCUUGGAAACAGAGAUGAGCUGGGUCUGCUGUGUGCUCGGCACAACCGGCUCCACUCUGAGGGGUUCUGUCUGAUGGGCGGGACAGGCAACAAGACUGCUGGGAGCAAAUGCUGAGGAACCCGUGAAGGGGAAGAUGGUUUGUGUGGAUGGCUGCUGAGGAAGCUCCACAGAAAUGAAAUUCACUGAGAUGAAAAUACAUCCAUGGAACAGAACAUUGAUGAACCAUAUGCCAAAAUGGAAGGUUGGUACUCCUGUAAGAGCAGUGCACUUAAUUUCAGCAUCACAGGCUGUGAGUGGAGAGCUGAGGACUCCAACUCUGGGCCUGCUGAGCCACACAAGAGCCACUGAGCACCUGGAGUGGAGGCCUGGGCCUGGGGAUGCUGGUCUGGCUCCAGCAGUCUUCAUGCAGACAGGCAACCCGG